AUUGAACGCUGGCGGCAGGCCUAACACAUGCAAGUCGAACGGUAACAGGAAGAAGCUUGCUUCUUUGCUGACGAGUGGCGGACGGGUGAGUAAUGUCUGGGAAACUGCCUGAUGGAGGGGGAUAACUACUGGAAACGGUAGCUAAUACCGCAUAACGUCGCAAGACCAAAGAGGGGGACCUUCGGGCCUCUUGCCAUCGGAUGUGCCCAGAUGGGAUUAGCUAGUAGGCGGGGUAACGGCUCACCUAGGCGACGAUCCCUAGCUGGUCUGAGAGGAUGACCAGCCACACUGGAACUGAGACACGGUCCAGACUCCUACGGGAGGCAGCAGUGGGGAAUAUUGCACAAUGGGCGCAAGCCUGAUGCAGCCAUGCCGCGUGUAUGAAGAAGGCCUUCGGGUUGUAAAGUACUUUCAGCGGGGAGGAAGGGAGUAAAGUUAAUACCUUGGCUCAUUGACGUUACCCGCAGAAGAAGCACCGGCUAACUCCGUG
RNAcentral lists this ribosomal RNA (490 nucleotides) under uncultured bacterium. Its description in RNAcentral is "partial 16S ribosomal RNA". It matches the Rfam family "Bacterial small subunit ribosomal RNA", at positions 30 to 507 of the family's 1533-position model. The record is from RNAcentral.